RNAcentral lists this long non-coding RNA (335 nucleotides) under Mytilus galloprovincialis (Mediterranean mussel). Lineage: Eukaryota; Metazoa; Mollusca; Bivalvia; Mytilida; Mytilidae. The record is from RNAcentral.
AUUUAACAUAAGUACCAAUGCUUGGAAAAUGUUUAUUUGGUGGUGUCAUUUUCAAAAAACAGCAGUGGAAACUCCCAUAACAAAUAAGUGUUCUUUCCGAGGAAGUUUUUAUAACUAUUUGGGUACUCUUUGUUGAGAUCCUUCAAGUCUCUCAUUCUGACUAUAUAGUUGUCGCCGUUUCAGCCAUUGUCUCACCUAGAGUUCUCGGCGCCAGUUGCUGUUUAAGCCAUCUUGUUCGUCUUCUACGCUUUCUGCAAGCUCUGUCACAGUUAAAAAACCUGUCUUUUUAUAGAUCUGCCACCAUGCCCACACAUCCAACUGCUUUAUUGCCAUGC